UCUUACGGCCAUACCACCCUGAACACGCCUGAUCUCGUCUGAUCUUGGAAGCUAAGCAGGGUCGGGCCUGGUUAGUACUUGGAUGGGAGACCACCUGAAAAUACUGGGUGCUGUAGGCU
Ribosomal RNA from Erinaceus europaeus (western European hedgehog), 119 nucleotides. The record is from Ensembl. NCBI's taxonomy places the organism in Eukaryota, Metazoa, Chordata, Mammalia, Eulipotyphla, Erinaceidae.